Molecule: ribosomal RNA, 228 nt
Filed under: uncultured bacterium
Lineage: Bacteria
Description: partial 16S ribosomal RNA
Rfam family: Bacterial small subunit ribosomal RNA
Source: RNAcentral
UACGUAGGGGGCAAGCGUUGUCCGGAUUCAUUGGCGUAAAGAGCGUGUAGGCGGCCAGGUAGGUCGGUUGUGAAAACUGGAGGCUCAACCUUCAGAGGUCGACCGAAACCAUCUGGCUAGAGUCCGGGAGAGGAGAGUGGAAUUCCUGGUGUAGCGGUGAAAUGGCGCAGAUAUCAGGAAGAACACCCGUGGCGAAAGCGGCUCUCUGGAACGGUACUGACGCUGAGA